GAUGAACGCUAGCGGCAGGCUUAAUACAUGCAAGUCGAGGGGCAGCAGGUCCCGCAGCAAUGCGGGAUGCUGGCGACCGGCAAACGGGUGCGGAACACGUACAGAACCUUCCUUUAAGUGGGGAAUAGCCCGGGGAAACCCGGAUUAAUACCCCGUAACAUAAUGAAGUGGCAUCACUUUAUUAUUAUAGCAGCAAUGCGCUUGAAGAUGGCUGUGCGGCUGAUUAGGUAGUUGGCGGGGUAACGGCCCACCAAGCCUACGAUCAGUAACUGGUGUGAGAGCACGACCAGUCACACGGGCACUGAGACACGGGCCCGACUCCUACGGGAGGCAGCAGUAAGGAAUAUUAGGCAAUGGACGCAAGUCUGACCCAGCCAUGCCGCGUGGAGGGUGAAGGUCCUCUGGAUUGUAAACUUCUUUUAUCUGGGAAGAAAUCUAUUUUUUCUAAAGUAGUUGACGGUACCAGAUGAAUAAGCACCGGCUAACUCCGUGCCAGCAGCCGCCGCAG
Molecule: ribosomal RNA, 508 nt
Filed under: uncultured bacterium
Lineage: Bacteria
Description: partial 16S ribosomal RNA
Rfam family: Bacterial small subunit ribosomal RNA
Source: RNAcentral